AUGGCCUCAUCAGUCUCGGAGAAGAUGCGGAAAAGUAAGAGGGGAACUAAGAGGGGGGGCGAUGAUCUCGCAAGCAGAUCGGAUGAGAGGGAUGGUGAUCUUCUCCCAAGAUCACAUAAGAGUACAAUAGUUCGCGAUGUAUACACAUAUGCUCGCUACAAGGAACAGUUUGGGGAUCUAGAGUCCAUGGGUUACCCUGAGCCACCAAUAACCAUGCCAGAUGAUGAUAUGCUUUUGGUUAAUACUUUCGAGGAGACUUUUGGCGACACAUACCCUGAAGGUGAUUGGCAUGAAUUCAGUAAAAAGGGCUCUUCCAACAUAGAUCGCUAUGUUGUCGCGCUUGCUUCAUUCAGUGGAGAGAAAAGGCAUUUUGCAUGCUCAGGUUUUUUCAUCGAAUGGAAUGGAUCUACGGUUAUUCUGACAUCGGCGGGCUUGGUCAGGAGUUCAACUGAUGAAAACAAGAUUGAUGAAAACUUGAGGAUCGAAGUGUUGCUUCCCAGGAGACGGCGCAUAAAGGGCACGCUACAGCACUACAGUCUACACUACAACGUUGCUCUAGUCGGCGUCGAGGAUUGCCGUGUUGUUCGUCCAGCAAUUAUUCAGCGUCUUCGGUAUGUGUGCUCUAAAAUAGCAGCCGUAGGGCGCUGUUUCGAAUCAGGCGCGCUGAUGGCCGUGAUCGCGGAAGAGGUCACCUGGACAGGCACGCUCGAUUGCGUUUGCGUUGAACGAAUCUCACGUAGAAUCACCAAGGCUGGUAUGGGAGGACCCCUUGUUAAUAUGGACGGGGAAGUUGUCGGCAUGGACUUCUACGACACGAGGAUCGGAACCCCUAUCGUGAUGUGGGAUCAUGUUCAAUGCAUUCUGGAACAUUUUUGUGAAAAGAGUAAGGCUGGUGAUGUUGGGAGUGACAGUGGUGAGGCUUUCUGGAAAAUGGAUGGGGAUCCCAGCGACAGGCUAAACAGGUGGCCCGUGCCCGCGCCAUGUUGGCGCAGUCGCGACGACGUGGACGCGGACAAGAAAUCCGAGGAGGAUGAGCUGAACCUCGAACCCCCGCCCCCCAGUGACAGUUUCGACUGGAGCUUCAAUUUCUUCAAUUUUUUUGAACAGGAGCCGGGCUCUAAACCCUCAUCCAGCCGCAGAAGCAACGAACCCCGCAGUAACCCAUACAUAUACGGAUACAUAGAUGGGGAGAGAGUUUUACUUUCUCUUUGA
RNAcentral lists this ribosomal RNA (1212 nucleotides) under Triticum aestivum (bread wheat). Its description in RNAcentral is "partial small subunit ribosomal RNA". Lineage: Eukaryota; Viridiplantae; Streptophyta; Magnoliopsida; Poales; Poaceae. The record is from RNAcentral.